Molecule: ribosomal RNA, 502 nt
Filed under: uncultured bacterium
Lineage: Bacteria
Description: partial 16S ribosomal RNA
Rfam family: Bacterial small subunit ribosomal RNA
Source: RNAcentral
AUUGAACGCUGGCGGAAUGCUUUACACAUGCAAGUCGAACGGCAGCACGGGUGCUUGCACCUGGUGGCGAGUGGCGAACGGGUGAGUAAUACAUCGGAACGUACCCAGUUAUGGGGGGUAACUAACCGAAAGGUUAGCUAAUACCGCAUACGCCCUGAGGGGGAAAGCGGGGGACCGUAAGGCCUCGCGUAAUUGGAGGGGCCGAUGUCUGAUUAGCUAGUUGGUGAGGUAAAGGCUCACCAAGGCGACGAUCAGUAGCAGGUCUGAGAGGAUGAUCUGCCACACUGGAACUGAGACACGGUCCAGACUCCUACGGGAGGCAGCAGUGGGGAAUUUUGGACAAUGGGCGAAAGCCUGAUCCAGCCAUUCCGCGUGAGUGAAGAAGGCCUUCGGGUUGUAAAGCUCUUUCGGCAGGGAAGAAACGCUCUGGGAUAAUACUCCGGGGUAAUGACGGUACCUGAAGAAGAAGCACCGGCUAACUACGUGCCAGCCGCCGCGGUAA